Balaenoptera acutorostrata (minke whale) is the source of this 1973-nucleotide long non-coding RNA. RefSeq lists it as uncharacterized. NCBI's taxonomy places the organism in Eukaryota, Metazoa, Chordata, Mammalia, Artiodactyla, Balaenopteridae. The record is from RefSeq and is a predicted model, not a curated record. The transcript is spliced from 3 exons.
UGCGCAUGCGCACGCCUAUGGCUCGCUGGGGUAAGCUGCAUACAGGUCCUUGUGAGUUGCGCGAGACCGGAAGCCUUUACUUAACGUCACAAAGAGAAGCAUCAAACAGCAGUCAUACCCUAUUAUCCUGAUAGCUGGCACGGAGCUGAAGGUAGCUGAUACAGAGCCUGAAAUAGUGCUUCAGUCAACAUGUAUCAUGCAGAUGGAGGCCGAUGGAUGCGACGGUCCAGCCACCACAGGGGAUCUUCCAGGUCCCAACGGAGAGGGGAAUGAUGGGCCUUCCCUGGUGGAGCAGUGGUUGAGAAUCUGCCUGCCAAUGCAGGGGACAUGGGUUCGAGCCCUGGUCUGGGAAGAUCCCACAUGCCGUGGAGCAACUGGGCCCGUGAGCCACAACUACUGAGCCUGCGCGUCUGGAGCCUGUGCUCCGCAACAAGAGAGGCCGCGAUAGUGAGAGGCCCGCGCACUGCGAUGAAGAGUGGCCCCCGCUUGCCACAACUAGAGAAAGCCCUCGCACAGAAACGAAGACCCAACACAGCCAUAAAUAAAUAAAUUAAUUAAUUAAAAAAAAAAAGGAAUGAUGGAAUGCUUAUGAUCAUAUAUGCUAAUGGACAUAGUAUCAGGAAUGUUGGGAUGGGAAAUAUUUCAUGAAGUUGAUUUUUCAUGCAUUUAGUGAGCCAAGUUUGUGAUUUCCAAUGAUUAAAAAUGCACUCAGUAGAAUCACUGUUUGCAAACCAAACUUCAUGUAAUACUUCAAUGGAGAAAGUUGGAACUCUAUAUCAGUUAUACAGUAACUCCCCGUAGCUUCUCCCCCAACAACUGGAAACCAUCAUUCUACUUUCCGUCUCUAUUAUAAGAACUUCAUAUAAGUGGAGUCAUAUAGUAUUUGUCUUUUUGUGAUUGGCUUAUUUGACUUGGCUUAAUGUCCUCAGGGUUCAUCCCUGUUGUAGCAUAUGUCAGAAUUUCCUUCCUUUAUAAGGCUGAAUCAUAAAUCAUUGUAUGUAUAUAACACAUUUUGUUUAUCCAUUCAUCCAUCAAUAGACACUUGGGUUACUUCUAAGAUUCAGCUCUUGUAAAUAAUGUUGCUAUGAACGUGGGUUCAUAAACAUCUCUUUGAGACUCUGCUUUUAAUUCUUUUGGUUAGAUAUCUAGAAGUGGAAUUGCUGGAUCAUAUGGCAAUUCUAUUUCUAACUUUUUGUGAAACUGCCAUACUGUUUUCCACAACAGCUGUACCAUUUUACAUUCCCACCAACAGUGCAAAAGGAUUCCAAUUUCUCUACAUACUCACCAACACUGUUGGUUAUUUAUUUAUUUGUUUGUUUAUUUAUUUAUUUAUUUGUCACCCUAAUGGAUGUGAAGUGAUGUCUCAUUGUGAUAUAUAUGGGGUGAAAUUUCACUGUAAUUUUGAUUUGCAUUUACCUAAUGUUUAGUGAUGUGCAACAUAUUUACAUGUGCUUAUUAGUCAUUUAUAUAUCUUUGGAGAAAUAUCUACAGAAGUCCCUUGCCCAGUUUUGAAUCAUGGUUUUUUUUUAUUAUUGAGUUUUAGGAGUUCUCUAUCUAUUCUGGAUUUUAAUCCCUUAUCAGAUAUAUGAUUUUCAAAUAUUUUCUCUCACUCUGUGGGUUGCCUUUUUACUCUGUUCAUAGUGUCUUUUGAUCCACAAAAUUUUAAAUUUUUCAUCAAGUUCAGUUUGUCUCUUUUUUCUUUGGUUGCCUGUGCCUUUGGUGUCAUAUCCAAGAAAUCAUUGCCAAACCCAGUGCUAUGAAUCUUUUGCCCUAUGUUUUCUUCUAAGAGUUUUAUAAUUUGAGGUCUUAUGUAUAGGUACAUUUUGAAUUAUUUUUUGUAUAUGGUGUUAGAUAAAGGUCUAACUUCAUUCUUUUGCAUGUGGAUAUCUAGUUACCCCAGCACCAUUUGUUGAAGAGACAGACUGUCCUUUCCCCAUUGAAUGGUCUUGGCUCUCCAGUUGAAAAUCAUUUGA